This 499-nucleotide ribosomal RNA is filed under the name uncultured bacterium. RNAcentral's name for it is "partial 16S ribosomal RNA". It matches the Rfam family "Bacterial small subunit ribosomal RNA", at positions 29 to 507 of the family's 1533-position model. The record is from RNAcentral.
ACGAACGCUGGCGGCGUGCUUAACACAUGCAAGUCGAACGGGUCUGCCCUGUUUUUUGCGGGGUGGGUCAGUGGCGAACGGGUGAGUAACACGUGAGUAACCUGCCCCUCACUUCUGGAUAACCGCUUGAAAGGGUGGCUAAUACGGGGUGUUCUGGCUGUGCCGCAUGGUGUGGCUGGGAAAGAUUCACUUUUGUGGUGUUUUGGUGGGGGAUGGGCUCGCGGCCUAUCAGCUUGUUGGUGGGGUGAUGGCCUGCCAAGGCUUUGACGGGUAGCCGGCCUGAGAGGGUGGGCGGUCACACUGGGACUGAGAUACGGCCCAGACUGCUGCGGGAGGCAGCAGUGGGGGGUAGUGCACAAUGGGCGGAAGCCUGAUGCAGCGACGUCGCGGGAGGGAUGGAGGCCUUCGGGUUGUGAACCUCUUUCGCCGGUGAAGAAGGUCCUGCUCUUUGUGGUGGGGUUGACGGUAGCCGGGUUAUGAAGCGCCGGCUAACUACGUG